Molecule: ribosomal RNA, 460 nt
Filed under: uncultured bacterium
Lineage: Bacteria
Description: partial 16S ribosomal RNA
Rfam family: Bacterial small subunit ribosomal RNA
Source: RNAcentral
CCUACGGGUGGCUGCAGUGAGGAAUAUUGGUCAAUGGGCGCGAGUCUGAACCAGCCAAGUAGCGUGAAGGAUGACUGCCCUACGGGUUGUAAACUUCUUUUAUAAAGGAAUAAAAUGAGGCACGUGUGCCUUUUUGUAUAUACUUUAUCAGUAAGAAUCGGCUAACACCGUGCCAGCAGCCGCGGUAAUACGGAGGAUGCGCGCGUUAUCCGGAUUUAUUGGGUUUAAAGGGAGCGUAGAGGGGCUGUUAAGUCAGCUGUGAAAGUUUGCGGCUCAACCGUAGAAUUGCAGUUGAUACUGGAAGUCUUGAGUACAGUUGAGGUAGGCGGAAUUCGUGGUGUAGCGGUGAAAUGCUUAGAUAUCAUGAAGAACUCCGAUUGCGAAGGCAGGUGACCAAGGUACCACUGACACUGAGGCUCGAAAGUGUGGGUAUCAAACAGGAUUAGAUACCCCUGUAGUC